Molecule: long non-coding RNA, 1050 nt
Organism: Oncorhynchus tshawytscha (Chinook salmon)
Lineage: Eukaryota; Metazoa; Chordata; Actinopteri; Salmoniformes; Salmonidae
Source: Ensembl
GGGAUGUUCUCUGUUUAGUGAGUCCUCCAGAUCAGAGGCAGCAGGGAUGACCAGGGAUGUUCUCUGUUUAGUGAGUCCUCCAGAUCAGAGGCAGUAGGGAUGACCAGGGAUGUUCUCUGUUUAGUGAGUCCUCCAGAUCAGAGGCAGCAGGGAUGACCAGGGAUGUUCUCUGUUUAGUGAGUCGGCCAGAUCAGAGGCAGUAGGGAUGACCAGGGAUGUUCUCUGUUUAGUGAGUCCUCCAGAUCAGAGGCAGCAGGGAUGACCAGGGAUGUUCUCUGUUUAGUGAGUCCUCCAGAUCAGAGGCAGUAGGGAUGACCAGGGAUGUUCUCUGUUUAGUGAGUCCUCCAGAUCAGAGGUAGCAGGGAUGACCAGGGAUGUUCUCUGUUUAGUGAGUCCUCCAGAUCAGAGGCAGUAGGGAUGACCAGGGAUGUUCUCUGUUUAGUGAGUCCUCCAGAUCAGAGGCAGCAGGGAUGACCAGGGAUGUUCUCUCGAUAAGUGUGUGAAUUGCACCAUUUCCUCUUUUCCUGCCAAGCAUUCAAAAUGUAACAAGUACUUUUUGGGUGUCAGCGAAAAUGGAUGGAGUAAAAAGUACAUUUAUUUUUUUAGGAAUGCAGUAAAGUAAAAAUUGUCAAACAUAUAAUUAGUAAAGUACAGAUACCCCAAAAAAACAUUUAAGUAGUACUUUUUAAAGUGUUUUUAAUGAAGUACUUUACAACACUGUAACCUAAGCUUUUUUGUGUGUAUGGAACAUUUUUUGGGAUCGUUUAUUUCAGCUCAUGAAAACAUACGAGCAAAACAUUUACAUGUUGCGUUUAUAUUUCUAGUUCAAUAUAGAAUGAUUCACCUUUCUGGUUUUAUGGUUACAACGUCUGUGGCGCACAAUGCAAUGCAACUUCUGGAGAUGUUUGAAUGUGAUCUGAUCUGUGGUUCUGAUUAUGUUUAUAAAACAGGCCUAUUGGGGAGCAGUAUAACUGUGGACAUUCUCCCAUUCUCUUUAUGUUGGAUCUUUGUCCUGCUACUGUGGAAAGUACGGACGUCCAUAGUCUGCGU